Molecule: long non-coding RNA, 1048 nt
Organism: Oncorhynchus nerka (sockeye salmon)
Lineage: Eukaryota; Metazoa; Chordata; Actinopteri; Salmoniformes; Salmonidae
Exons: 7
Source: RefSeq, a predicted model, not a curated record
AAGGUGUUUGAGAGUGUGAGCUGCGUGCAGGGGCUCUAUGUGUUUGAGGGUGUGAGUUGGAAGCAGACGUUACAACCAAAGCAAGGUUUCUCAAACAACUGUGUGUUUGUUGUGAUGUAUGCUCUGUACAUUGCAAUGGAGCACAGUGCGAUUUCACUGAGCAAAUUAGGCGAUGGUGGUGCCUAGUUCUCCUGCAGAACUUUCCCAUGCCGUCUGAAGAAGAGCGGUUGAAAGAACGAAAACAAAACACUACAGGAUGAUGUAGAAGAUGUCCCCCCCCAAGAAGUCACAGCAUGUCACAUUAGCAUCCAGCUCUGCAGGAUCAGAUGAUAUUGAAAGCAAAAUGCACGGAGAACUGGGAGCUGUGAACUGGGAAGCAGAUGUUCUUCUAAGGGACACCCUAGAGGCAGCAAAGUGGUGCGAACUCCAAACACUUAAAGGCACUGUUUCUCUCCCUAGUAUAAUUGGGAUGGAUGGGGAAGACCGCAUUACAACCCUUAAAGAACUACGGUUGUAUGAUGGCCUGGAUGAAGAAGAAAAUAUUAUCCCCAAGGAACCCUUCAUGUUACAGAGAGAUUAUGAGAUGUUCUAUGUGGAGGCAGUUGACAACAAGAACAUUACUGUCUUUGCCUCUUGAGGAACAGGGUCGAAGCCAUUUUUGAGGAGUGGUCAAACCUUGUUUUUGUCUGCUGUGUUAAUUGUGUUAUGUUGUUUAGUAAAGAGGAUGUAGAGUCUCUGAUCUCUUUACUGGAGGUGGUCUAACUUAAUGUACAAAGCACAUUCAGCUUGUCAGUAUGUCCAAAUGGUAUAGUCUGUCUCCAUUCUCAUGAGGAAAGUAAAUGGCAUUAUAAAUGAGGAUAGGUAGCAAGUGUAUGUGUAUAUAUACUCAAUGAAAUAAUAUAAUCACAAAGUUAUAACAUUUACCAACACAAUUUUAACAGUACAUGACAUACAUAACAAGUCUGUUGUUCACUGCAACAAUAUCAGUAGCUUGUCUCAAAUAUAGCAUGGAGCAAAAAGUGUUACAACACAUCUGCUGGUACCACUC